GCUGGGCACGGUGGCCCACGCCUGUCAUCCCAGCCUCUCAGGAGGCUGAGGCAGGAGGAUGGCGAGUUCAAAGGCAGCCUCAGCCACAGUGAAGUGCUAAGCAACUCAGUGAGACCCUGUCUCUA
This 125-nucleotide small RNA is filed under the name Marmota monax (woodchuck). Lineage: Eukaryota; Metazoa; Chordata; Mammalia; Rodentia; Sciuridae. The record is from RNAcentral.